RNAcentral lists this ribosomal RNA (253 nucleotides) under uncultured bacterium. RNAcentral's name for it is "partial 16S ribosomal RNA". It matches the Rfam family "Bacterial small subunit ribosomal RNA", at positions 524 to 776 of the family's 1533-position model. The record is from RNAcentral.
UACGAAGGGGGCUAGCGUUGCUCGGAAUCACUGGGCGUAAAGCGCACGUAGGCGGAUUGCUAAGUCAGGGGUGAAAUCCUGGAGCUCAACUCCAGAACUGCCUUUGAUACUGGUGAUCUUGAGUCCGGGAGGGGUGAGUGGAACUGCGAGUGUAGAGGUGAAAUUCGUAGAUAUUCGGAAGAACACCAGUGGCGAAGGCGGCUCACUGGACCGGUAUUGACGCUGAGGUGCGAAAGCGUGGGGAGCAGACAGG